CGUGCUCCAGCAAGGACCAUGGGGUGGCAACGGCGGCAAAACCUGGAAUAUGGGACGGGCGGAUCACAUUAGCAACGUCAAAAUUCAUUACAACGAUGCCGUAUUCGCGUUUGACUUCACCUUCACCGUCGACGGCAAGAAGAAGACCAUCCACGUCGGAGGCGAUGCACCCCAGUACAAUGAGAUUACUCUAGAGGAGGACGAAUACUUCACUUUCAUCUCUGGAUAUUUCAAGACGAUGUGGACGACAGACGUUUUCAUAACACAACUUACCCUUGAGACCAACAAGGGCAAUUCUGUGAGCGCCGGCAAUACGAUCGGUAGUCAUUUCUCCCUAAAUCUAGAGGAUGAGGGUAAGAUUCUAGGCUUCUUCGGACGUGAAGGUUCUACCAUCGAUGCCAUCGAGGCAAUCGGAGUUUACUGCACUAUACCUAAUUAAACACACGUCACGCCUUGGUGUCUGUGUCUUAGUCUGCUGCAAUGUAUCUGCUCGGUUGUGGCGAUAAAUAAGUGGCAGAAAUUGUCGUCGUCUUCGUCGUUGCGUUUCUUUGAAUAAAACAAGAAAUAUGUUACGGGUCCACUGGUUAUUGUACGCUAAUUGACGACAUGAUGAUAGUUGAAUCCAAUCGGUGGUUGCAUUCCUAUGUCAUUUCGCGUACA
This is a long non-coding RNA of Musa acuminata AAA Group (dessert banana), 660 nucleotides long. RefSeq lists it as uncharacterized. NCBI's taxonomy places the organism in Eukaryota, Viridiplantae, Streptophyta, Magnoliopsida, Zingiberales, Musaceae. The record is from RefSeq and is a predicted model, not a curated record. The transcript is spliced from 2 exons.